Molecule: ribosomal RNA, 500 nt
Filed under: uncultured bacterium
Lineage: Bacteria
Description: partial 16S ribosomal RNA
Rfam family: Bacterial small subunit ribosomal RNA
Source: RNAcentral
AUUGAACGCUGGCGGCAUGCCUUACACAUGCAAGUCGAACGGCAGCACGGGAGCAAUCCUGGUGGCGAGUGGCGAACGGGUGAGUAAAGUAUCGGAACGUGCCCAGUCGUGGGGGAUAACGUAGCGAAAGUUACGCUAAUACCGCAUACGAUCGUUGGAUGAAAUCGGGGGAUCGCAAGACCUCGCGCGAUUGGAGCGGCCGAGAUCAGAUUAGGUAGUUGGUGGGGUAAAGGCUCACCAAGCCGACGAUCUGUAGCUGGUCUGAGAGGACGACCAGCCACACUGGGACUGAGACACGGCCCAGACUCCUACGGGAGGCAGCAGUGGGGAAUUUUGGACAAUGGGCGAAAGCCUGAUCCAGCCAUGCCGCGUGCAGGAUGAAGGCCUUCGGGUUGUAAACUGCUUUUGUACGGAACGAAAAGGUUUGGCCUAAUAAGCUGAGCUCAUGACGGUACCGUAAGAAUAAGCACCGGCUAACUACGUGCCAGCCGCCGCUGUAA